RNAcentral lists this ribosomal RNA (493 nucleotides) under uncultured bacterium. RNAcentral describes it as "bacterial SSU rRNA". It matches the Rfam family "Bacterial small subunit ribosomal RNA", at positions 28 to 507 of the family's 1533-position model. The record is from RNAcentral.
GAUGAACGCUAGCUACAGGCUUAACACAUGCAAGUCGAGGGGAAACGACAUCGAAAGCUUGCUUUUGAUGGGCGUCGACCGGCGCACGGGUGAGUAACGCGUAUCCAACCUGCCCACCACUUGGGGAUAACCUUGCGAAAGUAAGACUAAUACCCGAUGAUAUCUCUAGACGACAUCUGAAAGAGAUUAAAGAUUUAUCGGUGAUGGAUGGGGAUGCGUCUGAUUAGCUUGUUGGCGGGGUAACGGCCCACCAAGGCGACGAUCAGUAGGGGUUCUGAGAGGAAGGUCCCCCCACAUUGGAACUGAGACACGGUCCAAACUCCUACGGGAGGCAGCAGUGAGGAAUAUUGGUCAAUGGGCGAGAGCCUGAACCAGCCAAGUAGCGUGCAGGACGACGGCCCUAUGGGUUGUAAACUGCUUUUAUAAGGGAAUAAAGUGAGUCUCGUGAGACUUUUUGCAUGUACCUUAUGAAUAAGGACCGGCUAAUUCCGUG